GCGCCUGUAGCUCAAUUGGAUAGAGCAACGGCCUUCUAAGCCGUCGGUUGCAGGUUCGAGCCCUGCCAGGCGUACCA
Molecule: transfer RNA, 77 nt
Filed under: Isoalcanivorax pacificus W11-5
Lineage: Bacteria; Pseudomonadati; Pseudomonadota; Gammaproteobacteria; Oceanospirillales; Alcanivoracaceae
Also listed under: 1 other name
Description: tRNA-Arg (TCT) (tRNA-Arg-TCT-1-1)
Rfam family: tRNA
About the family: Transfer RNA (tRNA) molecules are approximately 80 nucleotides in length. Their secondary structure includes four short double-helical elements and three loops (D, anti-codon, and T loops).
Source: RNAcentral